GCCUAAUACAUGCAAGUCGAGCGGAGUUGAUGAGGCUUGCUUCUCUGAUGCUUAGCGGCGGACGGGUGAGUAACACGUAGGUAACCUGCCUGUAAGACUGGGAUAACUACCGGAAACGGUAGCUAAUACCGGAUAAUUUAUUUCUCUCCUGGGGAGAUAAUGAAAGACGGAGCAAUCUGUCACUUACAGAUGGGCCUGCGGCGCAUUAGCUAGUUGGUGAGGUAACGGCUCACCAAGGCGACGAUGCGUAGCCGACCUGAGAGGGUGAACGGCCACACUGGGACUGAGACACGGCCCAGACUCCUACGGGAGGCAGCAGUAGGGAAUCUUCCGCAAUGGACGAAAGUCUGACGGAGCAACGCCGCGUGAGUGAUGAAGGUUUUCGGAUCGUAAAGCUCUGUUGCCAGGGAAGAACGUCCGGUAGAGUAACUGCUACCGGAGUGACGGUACCUGAGAAGAAAGCCCCGGCUAACUACGUGCCAGCAGCCGCGGUAAUACGUAGGGGGCAAGCGUUGUCCGGAAUUAUUGGGCGUAAAGCGCGCGCAGGCGGUCACUUAAGUCUGGUGUUUAAGGCCAAGGCUCAACCUUGGUUCGCACUGGAAACUGGGUGAC
Molecule: ribosomal RNA, 612 nt
Filed under: Paenibacillus chibensis
Lineage: Bacteria; Bacillati; Bacillota; Bacilli; Caryophanales; Paenibacillaceae
Description: bacterial SSU rRNA
Rfam family: Bacterial small subunit ribosomal RNA
Source: RNAcentral